Molecule: transfer RNA, 70 nt
Filed under: Dipodomys ordii (Ord's kangaroo rat)
Lineage: Eukaryota; Metazoa; Chordata; Mammalia; Rodentia; Heteromyidae
Rfam family: tRNA
About the family: Transfer RNA (tRNA) molecules are approximately 80 nucleotides in length. Their secondary structure includes four short double-helical elements and three loops (D, anti-codon, and T loops).
Source: Rfam by way of RNAcentral
GGGAAGGUGGCUCAGUGGUAGAGUGCUUGCCUCAUAUGCAUGAGGCCCUGAGUUCGAUUCCUUAGCUCCA